This 253-nucleotide ribosomal RNA is filed under the name uncultured bacterium. RNAcentral's name for it is "partial 16S ribosomal RNA". It matches the Rfam family "Bacterial small subunit ribosomal RNA", at positions 524 to 776 of the family's 1533-position model. The record is from RNAcentral.
UACGUAGGGGGCAAGCGUUGUCCGGAUUUAUUGGGCGUAAAGAGCGUGUAGGCGGCCUGAUAGGUCGGAUGUGAAAACUCGGGGCUCAACCCCGAGACGUCGGUUGAAACCAUCUGGCUAGAGUCCGGAAGAGGAGUGUGGAAUUCCCGGUGUAGCGGUGAAAUGCGCAGAUAUCGGGAAGAACACCCGUGGCGAAGGCGGCACGCUGGGACGGGACUGACGCUGAGACGCGAAAGCGUGGGGAGCGAACAGG